AGAGUUUGAUCCUGGCUCAGGACGAACGCUGGCGGCGUGCUUAACACAUGCAAGUCGAACGGAAAGGCCCUUCGGGGUACUCGAGUGGCGAACGGGUGAGUAACACGUGGGUGAUCUGCCCUGCACUUUGGGAUAAGCCUGGGAAACUGGGUCUAAUACCGAAUAUGACCAUGCACUUCCUGGUGUGUGGUGGAAAGCUUUUGCGGUGUGGGAUGGGCCCGCGGCCUAUCAGCUUGUUGGUGGGGUAAUGGCCUACCAAGGCGACGACGGGUAGCCGGCCUGAGAGGGUGACCGGCCACACUGGGACUGAGAUACGGCCCAGACUCCUACGGGAGGCAGCAGUGGGGAAUAUUGCACAAUGGGCGCAAGCCUGAUGCAGCGACGCCGCGUGAGGGAUGACGGCCUUCGGGUUGUAAACCUCUUUCAGCACAGACGAAGCGCAAGUGACGGUAUGUGCAGAAGAAGGACCGGCCAACUACGUGCCAGCAGCCGCGGUAAUACGUAGGGUCCGAGCGUUGUCCGGAAUUACUGGGCGUAAAGAGCUCGUAGGUGGUUUGUCGCGUUGUUCGUGAAAACUCACAGCUUAACUGUGGGCGUGCGGGCGAUACGGGCAGACUUGAGUACUGCAGGGGAGACUGGAAUUCCUGGUGUAGCGGUGGAAUGCGCAGAUAUCAGGAGGAACACCGGUGGCGAAGGCGGGUCUCUGGGCAGUAACUGACGCUGAGGAGCGAAAGCGUGGGGAGCGAACAGGAUUAGAUACCCUGGUAGUCCAA
This 773-nucleotide ribosomal RNA is filed under the name uncultured bacterium. Its description in RNAcentral is "bacterial SSU rRNA". It matches the Rfam family "Bacterial small subunit ribosomal RNA", at positions 8 to 798 of the family's 1533-position model. The record is from RNAcentral.